This 30-nucleotide non-coding RNA is filed under the name Mus musculus (house mouse). The record is from RNAcentral. Lineage: Eukaryota; Metazoa; Chordata; Mammalia; Rodentia; Muridae.
UGCCAAGACUUGAUAAACGCCAUUCAGAAA